Non-coding RNA from Arachis ipaensis, 712 nucleotides. The record is from RefSeq and is a predicted model, not a curated record. NCBI's taxonomy places the organism in Eukaryota, Viridiplantae, Streptophyta, Magnoliopsida, Fabales, Fabaceae.
CUGGAGAUAAUAAAUUUAUUUAAGGGUUAAUGCAGAUAAUUAACUGAAGUGCUGAAGCCAAUUUAUAUCCUGGUGCAAUAACUUUGACACUUCAAAUUACAGAGGCAAUUGGAUACUUACUUUCUCCUUGCUCACAUGUGCUCUGUCAAGCUUAAAGAAUGGACGCUUGUCCUGCUUACUCUGUUAAGAAGUUCUAAGGUGUUUUUUGACUUAUUCAGACAUGAUGUUCGGCUGUGAAAAGCAUGCAGCACCACAAUGCAGACUCAUUCAAGAUUUAUUGGAAGAGAAAAACUUUGCAACGAUGGAAGAUAUAUGAAGGUGAAUGCAGACUUCAUCUUUGCUCGAUGUACAUCAUGUUUUCUUGCUGACAAAGUUAUAUGUUCGAGUGGUUUCCUUCACGUGGAUCUACUUGAAAGAUCUGAUGGGUUUUAUUCAAACAUAUGGACCAUGGUUAACCAUGGUUUUCAUCACAAGUCAUUUUUCUGGUGCUAAUCUCAUGAAUAUGCCAUAGUUUGUGUGGUCAGACAAGUGCAUAUAUUUUUGAGGUGUGGAUUAUUCUCUUCAUUUUUCCAUCCAAAUUUUGUAACUUUUUUUUUCUUUCUGAUUUUGUAAAAUAUGAACAGACCCAUUUGUAUAUAAUAUAUUGGUUAUGCCCCUGGUACAUCAGCAUUCAUAGUGAAAUUUAUUGCUUAUGCAAAACCUUUUUUUAUCA